This 201-nucleotide long non-coding RNA is filed under the name Elaeis guineensis (African oil palm). RNAcentral describes it as "long non-coding RNA (EGUI_LNC069070)". Lineage: Eukaryota; Viridiplantae; Streptophyta; Magnoliopsida; Arecales; Arecaceae. The record is from RNAcentral.
UGGGUGUUCAUUUGAGAAAUGAGUCCACUGAAUUGACUCGAUGAAAGAGAAUAUCUAAUGGAAGCCUUAUUUGUAUGUUAAAGAUGGUUCUCUAAGUGGGAGUUGUACAAGUGAUCCUUAGACUGAAACUACUAUGGAAUCUUAUGCACAUGAACCCAUAUUUUGGUUCAUACCCAGGCAUGGCAUUAGGACAUGUACGGG